CCUACGGGAGGCAGCAGUGGGGGAUAUUGCACAAUGGGGGAAACCCUGAUGCAGCGACGCCGCGUGGGUGAAGAAGUAUUUCGGUAUGUAAAGCCCUAUCAGCAGGGAAGAAAGAAGACGGUACCUGACUAAGAAGCCCCGGCUAACUACGUGCCAGCAGCCGCGGUAAUAUGUAGGGGGCGAGCGUUAUCCGGAUUCACUGGGUGUAAAGGGAGCGUAGACGGCCGUGCAAGCCAGGAGUGAAAGCCCGGGGCCCAACCCCGGGACUGCUCUUGGAACUGGGCGGCUGGAGUGCGGGAGGGGCAGGCGGAAUUCCUGGUGUAGCGGUGAAAUGCGUAGAUAUCAGGAAGAACACCGGCGGCGAAGGCGGCCUGCUGGACCGCGACUGACGUUGAGGCUCGAAAGCGUGGGGAGCGAACAGGAUUAGAUACCCCAGUAGUC
RNAcentral lists this ribosomal RNA (441 nucleotides) under uncultured bacterium. RNAcentral's name for it is "partial 16S ribosomal RNA". It matches the Rfam family "Bacterial small subunit ribosomal RNA", at positions 338 to 795 of the family's 1533-position model. The record is from RNAcentral.